CUUCUUCACAGGCUGAUUCUACAAGCAUGAACCACAAUCGACACUGUAGCAAAAUCCAGCACGGCCUUUAUGUUUGGACUUCAAAUUCCAUAAUAAUCACAGCUUCAGACAAAGCCACACCGACAGUGAUUAUGCAACCCUAGACUGCAACCUUGAUCCAUGUUUGUCAAUGACAACAGUGGCCAAAUCCUCUCGUUAGGCCGAGUUUUGAGUUGCACCGUAAAAGUUCUCCUCCACAAAUACAAAUCUAGAGCACAAGUGUAUUCUAGGUCAUAAGAAGGCUAGAUCUGUAACUAAACAAGAGGAUUCAAAACAACAACGAGUCGGAUGUGGCCUCCCACCCAAAGUCGCAGAUUCAAAGCUUACCGUCGAUCACAGAAAGGAAGAAAGAUGCUGCCUACAGCACCUCAAUGAUGACACUCCUUCGAAGCUUGAUAAGUCGUCCAUACAAUAGACUUUUGCUAUACCAGCUCACAAUGUAAUCUCACCUCUGCUCAACUACCUCAAAGUACUUAAGGAGUACCUCAAACAUCGAACCGCACUGCUUCAUGAACUUAAGGAGAUACGUAAAUAAUAAAAAAAAUAAAAAAUAAAGAGGAUUCCUAGAUGACUAAAUAUUCUGGAAAGCAUUAACAUAGAAGUGCCACCGCAUCAAGCAAUCGAUCCUCCACUCAUAUAAAAGAUCCAAUAAUUUAUCGACCAAGAAUCCAAUAAACUCGUAUACGAGAAUAGAAUGGAAAACCAAGGCUUAAACAAGAAAUGCUUUCCAAACACAAAAACAGCUGCAAGUCGGAGAUCGGUGAUGAAGUCCUCCAAGAAGCGCCCCACCAACCCAAUCUUCUAAAGAUUUCCUAGCGCUCGGAGACAGAACGCCUCUCCACAACAACACCACCCACACUUAGACCUACUCUAGCACCGCACAGCAAAUAACCAACGAACCCAGCAGCACUCUUGCCGCAAAGACCUGAUCAUCUACAACAAGGAUCUCUUCCAU
This 994-nucleotide long non-coding RNA is filed under the name Physcomitrium patens. Its description in RNAcentral is "long non-coding RNA (PPAT_LNC012677)". Lineage: Eukaryota; Viridiplantae; Streptophyta; Bryopsida; Funariales; Funariaceae. The record is from RNAcentral.